Molecule: long non-coding RNA, 1309 nt
Filed under: Mus spicilegus (steppe mouse)
Lineage: Eukaryota; Metazoa; Chordata; Mammalia; Rodentia; Muridae
Description: lncRNA (ENSMSIG00000012851.1)
Source: RNAcentral
AUGCUCAGAAAGAUUCUUGUCAUGUGCCCAGUGCUGGAGCAUAAGUGGAUAGAGCCCAGCGCUGUCCCUCCACCCCCACGCUCACAGUGGCAGUCGCAUGAACAUCAAUGUGAUUCCCAGAGGAUGUGGACUGUCAGAGAAGCAGGAGGAGUAGUGAGACCAGCACAGGAGGGCCCAGGCCUGGGAGGACAGACAGACAGACCUAUCAUCCAGAAGGAUGAGCCAGUGGAACUGGAAGACUGGCUACACCUCAAAGGGCCCCAGAGUCUUCUCCCUGAUGGUCCUGCUCAGAUACCUGAUGUGCCUUGAAUGAAAAUGGCCAGUUUGAACUGGAGAGAGAGAGAGAAUGCCCAGCUGCUUCCUGAUCUUGCUGCCGUCCCUUCCCCUCUGUGGUGCCUGGGGUCUCCUGGAGCCAUGAACUAAAGUAAAUCUGUUCUUUCGAAAGCUGCUUUUGUCUGUGUUUUGUCCCAACAAUGAUAAAAGUAAUUGAUACAAGUCCAUUAGCCAGGCAUGGGGCACACACCUUUAAUCCUAGCACUUAGAAAGCAAAGAGGCAGGUGGAUCUCUCUGAGUUCCAGGUCAGCCUGGUCUACAUAGGAAGUUAUAGGACAACCUGUUAUUAACGCGUUCUCUCGCACCCGGCCAGGAAGAACACAGCAAACCAGAAUCUUCUGCGGCAAAACUUUAUUGCUUACAUCUUCAGGAGCAAGAGUGUAAGAAGCAAGAGAGAGAGAGAGCGAAACCCCGUCCCUAUUAAGGAGAAUAAUCCUUCGCCUAGGACGUGUCACUCCCUGAUUGGCUGCAGCCCAUCGGCCGAGUUGACGUCACGGGGAAGGCAGAGCACAUGGAGUGGGGAACCACCCUCGGCACAUGCGCAGAUUAUCUGUCUACCACCUAGAACACAGCUGUCAGCGCCAUCUUGUAACGGCGAAUGUGGGCGCGGCUUCCCACAGUUCCCCCUUUUCUAUUAAUAAGAGCAAUAGGCCACCCAUAUUAAUGAGAGUGGAGAUAGAGGUCAAAUCCCCAGUGUGCAGGUAAAGGAGCCGUACACAUAACCUCCUUCCAGGCUCAUCACCUAGAGGGGUCCUGGUCUGGUCCCGUGUUGUUUUUCCUGGGGGAAGGACACUUGAACACUCAACCUUCUUGAAAGAUGACAUGUCUCCCUAGAAUAGGCUCAUAUGUGCCGCAGAGCCCUUCUACUGCAGUGCUUAGCCGUGCAACUCUCUCGGGCUGCUGAAGCACACUCACUCUAUCCCGUGCAAUGAGGUGCAAGAGCUGAAUGGCCAGCGACCUAUUGCUUAAGCAUAGA